CGUACACUCCUGCGGGAGGCAGCAGUGGGGAAUAUUGCACAAUGGGCGCAAGCCUGAUGCAGCCAUGCCGCGUGUAUGAAGAAGGCCUUCGGGUUGUAAAGUACUUUCAGCGGGGAGGAAGGCAAUACGGUUAAUAACCGUGUUGAUUGACGUUACCCGCAGAAGAAGCACCGGCUAACUCCGUGCCAGCAGCCGCGGUAAUACGGAGGGUGCAAGCGUUAAUCGGAAUUACUGGGCGUAAAGCGCACGCAGGCGGUCUGUCAAGUCGGAUGUGAAAUCCCCGGGCUCAACCUGGGAACUGCAUUCGAAACUGGCAGGCUUGAGUCUUGUAGAGGGGGGUAGAAUUCCAGGUGUAGCGGUGAAAUGCGUAGAGAUCUGGAGGAAUACCGGUGGCGAAGGCGGCCCCCUGGACAAAGACUGACGCUCAGGUGCGAAAGCGUGGGGAGCAAACAGGAUUAGAAACCCUAGUAGUCCCAUG
RNAcentral lists this ribosomal RNA (478 nucleotides) under uncultured organism. RNAcentral's name for it is "partial 16S ribosomal RNA". It matches the Rfam family "Bacterial small subunit ribosomal RNA", at positions 330 to 799 of the family's 1533-position model. The record is from RNAcentral.